UACGUAGGGUGCAAGCGUUGUCCGGAAUUAUUGGGCGUAAAGAGCUCGUAGGCGGUCUGUCGCGUCGGAUGUGAAAACCCAGGGCUCAACCCUGGGCCUGCAUUCGAUACGGGCAGACUAGAGUUCGGUAGGGGAGACUGGAAUUCCUGGUGUAGCGGUGAAAUGCGCAGAUAUCAGGAGGAACACCGGUGGCGAAGGCGGAUCUCUGGGCCAUUACUGACGCUGAGGAGCGAAAGCGUGGGGAGCGAACAGG
This 253-nucleotide ribosomal RNA is filed under the name uncultured bacterium. RNAcentral's name for it is "partial 16S ribosomal RNA". It matches the Rfam family "Bacterial small subunit ribosomal RNA", at positions 524 to 776 of the family's 1533-position model. The record is from RNAcentral.